RNAcentral lists this ribosomal RNA (253 nucleotides) under uncultured prokaryote. Its description in RNAcentral is "partial 16S ribosomal RNA". It matches the Rfam family "Bacterial small subunit ribosomal RNA", at positions 524 to 776 of the family's 1533-position model. The record is from RNAcentral.
GACGUAGGGGGCAAGCGUUGUUCGGAAUUAUUGGGCGUAAAGCGCUCGUAGGCGGGACUGGAAGUCCGUGUUGAAAGACCUCGGCUCAACUGAGGGACCGGCGCGGAUACUCUAGUUCUUGAGGCAAUCAGAGGGUGAUGGAAUUCCCGGUGUAGAGGUGAAAUUCGUAGAUAUCGGGAGGAACACCAGUGGCGAAGGCGGCGACCUGGACGGACAUUGACGCUGAGACGCGAAAGCGUGGGGAGCAAACAGG